UGAAAUGGGAGUACAAGAUUUCAGGAUGA
Molecule: non-coding RNA, 29 nt
Filed under: Rattus norvegicus (Norway rat)
Lineage: Eukaryota; Metazoa; Chordata; Mammalia; Rodentia; Muridae
Source: RNAcentral